UACGCCUUCGGGACCGGCUAUGAUCUCGCGCGCCUGCCGCGCACGCGGAUCGCCUAUGCGGGGCAGGCGUUGGACGCGCCUUGGCGCGCC
RNAcentral lists this transfer RNA (90 nucleotides) under Verrucomicrobia bacterium ADurb.Bin070. RNAcentral describes it as "tRNA-Gly". Lineage: Bacteria; Pseudomonadati; Verrucomicrobiota. The record is from RNAcentral.